This 208-nucleotide non-coding RNA is filed under the name unclassified sequences. RNAcentral's name for it is "raiA RNA". It matches the Rfam family "raiA RNA". The record is from Rfam by way of RNAcentral.
UUGAAGCGGGUCUGUGGUUGCAAGCCGAUGCCAGUCGCAGGCAAAACGGUCCACGUAAUCCAUCCAAAGCGGUGGGGAGCAUGGUGCGGCUUAGAAGUAAGCCCGGCCGCGUUAAAAGCGCGAGAGAACGGCGUGGGGGCAGAGAAUGCUAUGAGCAAAGUUCCCGCCGGCGAGUGUGGGGUCAAAGACCAGGUCAGCCGAUCUUCAA